Long non-coding RNA from Rhineura floridana, 1893 nucleotides. RefSeq lists it as uncharacterized. Lineage: Eukaryota; Metazoa; Chordata; Lepidosauria; Squamata; Rhineuridae. The record is from RefSeq and is a predicted model, not a curated record. The transcript has 3 exons.
GCUGAGCUUGCUCUGUGUGAGGAAGCAAGUGAGAGAGAGAGAGAAAAUGGCCGAUGGAGGGAGAAAGCAGCAGCAGAAUGGAGGGUGCAGGGAUAAGCAACAUGAUGCCCUUCAGAUGAUGGACUACAAUUGUCAUCAUCCCUGACUGCUGGUCAUGCUGGUUGCGGCUGAUGGGAGAUACACCAUGCUGGCUAUCCCUGAGUUCUGGAUGCAGCUUCUUUGUUGCCACCUCUACUUCCUGCAGCAACUGUGGUGGAGCCUAGGACAGCAAACAUCAACAAAAACAACAAAAAGUUUAACAGAAAAGAAAAGUAUUCGGGGCGUGGCCAGCAGAGCUGCAAAAUGGCUGCAUAACUUUGCUGCUCUGUUCCCUCCGGAUGGAAAAGCCUCCCUAAUAUUAAAUCGGGACAUAGUCUUAUUCAUAAAUAAAAGCUAUUUCGAGGGGGCAAUGCUCCCCAGCAUAUUUAAAGGAAAAGAAGGCAUUUUGGAGGACUAUUUUAAAUCGCAAGACACAGAAGGCCCAAGCGCAGCAAAGAGACAACUACUAAACAAGAUGGCUCCUGGAUCUCAGAAAAGCUCUAAAACAGCACCUGCAGAUGUGAAUUUCGCAGCUGCUUCAUGGAAGGAAGAGCUAGCUAGGCAAUUUCAGUCCACUGCUGGGGAUUCCCAUUUCGACUGAUUAUCCCUAAGAAUGGAGGGCUGCUGACAGUGAGCACCAUGAAGGAGUUUCUAUCCCUCCUGACAGCAUGCAACAUAGAACACCCUGAAGGGAUCCAAAAAGAAGACCUAGAAGCUGACAAAAAUGACACACGACAGAGAUAUAACUAGCACUGGGAAAGCAGCAAGAAAAAUCUUCACCCUCGCAAACACACCCCUACAGAAUCAACAGCUAAUAUCCGUGCAGAAGCUCGAUCUCUCACACCAAGUCCUUCUAAUGCAAAAUGAAGAGACUGUGCAUCAAUACUCACAUACUUCUGACAAAUUCUCCAGCAUUUAAAUCUCCAAAAUGAUGUUGUUUGAGAAAUAGCACGCAAGUCACCAGUAUAUUAAUUUUGGUUGCUUCUAAUAUUAAAGGGAGGGGGCGCAUGGGGGGGAAGGAGGGGGGAAUUAUAGUUCUUUCUUCUCCCCUCUUUCCUCAUUCCUUCCCAUGUGUCCCCAAGCCUUUUUUCUUCUUUUUAACUCAUGUUCCAUCCGGGGGAGGGGGCAAAACAAAGGAGAUGGCAGCUCUUUGCAGCGGUCUUCUCCUUUCCAUAUUCUUUUUACCUUUUGGCCUUUCCCCCCAAAAAAGUUGUGUUUAUCACAAGGGCCUAAGCCCUGGAUCUAUGCACUUUUGCAUAGACGUGGACUCUGUGUUUUCAACCGAGUCUGCAAAGUCAGGCCUCUAAUGGCACCGCUCAGGGACUUUAAGUUUUUCCCUGUAAGGAAGGUGCUGGUAUGUUGUCCAAGUUUAGCAUUUGUUUCAUCAGUUAGACCCCGUUGGGUAAGGUUUGGGUUGGGAAGGGGCUCGUGGGGAAGGAAAGGUGGCUUAUUUCAGUUGCUAUUAUUAAACCUUCGAUUGAUGUAUUCUAAGUUAAAUUGGUGGUUGUACAUGGUGGAUGUUAAGGGAGCAGAGGGAACUCUGGUUGGUUUAAAUUCUCCUUUGACUCCUCUCUUCUUCCAUCCCGAUUUUUAUAAUAAAAAUAGAUAUAUAUAGCCUGGCAGGAAUGGAAGUUGAGGGGACUUUUCCGUAUUCGAGACUUUUUCACUAACAACCAACUAAUAACAGAGCAAUUGUUUAGAGAUACGCUGGGUGACAUGAAUUUUUCUUGUAUCCAAUGGUGUCAGACACAUGAUUUUUUAUCAAGGACAUGAAUCAAAUAACAGGCUUGUUGCCAAUUAAACCCUUUUGAACAA